UGUCUCAAAGAUUAAGCCAUGCAUGUAUCAGUUCACACCUUCAUAUGGUGAAACCGCGAAUGGCUCAUUAAAUCAGCUAUUAUUUCUUAGAUCUUACGAUUUACUUGGAUAACUGUAGUAAUUCUAGAGCUAAUACAUGCUAUCGAGCCUCAGUCUUACGGUUGAGGUGGAUUUAUUAGAACAAAAUCAUCUGGCUUUGCCAUUGAUUGUUGAAUCUGGAUAACUUUUCUGAUCGCAUGACCUUGAGUCGGCGACGUAUCUUUCAAGUGUCUGACCUAUCACCUACGAUGGUGGGGUAUCUGCCCACCAUGGGUGUUACGGGUAACGGGGAAUCAGGGUUCGAUUCCGGAGAGGGAGCCUUAGAAAUGGCUACCACAUCUAAGGAAGGCAGCAGGCGCGCAAAUUACCCACUCUCGGCUAGAGGAGGUAGUGACGAAAAAUAACAAUGCAAGACUCAUAAUGAGGCCUUGCAAUUGGAAUGAGUACAAUUUAAAUCCUUUAACGAGGAGCAAUUGGAGGGCAAGUCUGGUGCCAGCAGCCGCGGUAAUUCCAGCUCCAAUAGCGUAUAUUAAAAUUGUUGCAGUUAAAAAGCUCGUAGUUGGAUCUCAGACGAGGUAGGUUGGUUCAGCUCAUUGCUGCUACUAAUCUUGCCCGUCUUUUUCAGCCGGUUGAUGCUUCAUGGUGCUCUUUACUGAGUGCUUUGUGAGUGCGCGGCACGUUUACUUUGAAAAAAUUAGAGUGCUCAAAGCAGGCGUUUAGCUUGAAUACUGUUGCAUGGAAUAAUAAAAUAGGACUUCGGUUCUAUUUUGUUGAUUUUCGGUGCCGAAGUAAUGAUAAAAAGAGACAGACGGGGGCAUUUGUAUGGUGGUGUUAGAGGUGAAAUUCUUGGAUCGCCGCCAGACAGACUACUGCGAAAGCAUUUGCCAAGUAUGUCUUCAUUAAUCAAGAACGAAAGUCAGAGGUUCGAAGACGAUCAGAUACCGUCCUAGUUCUGACCAUAAACUAUGCCAACCGACAAUCAGGGGCGGUUAUAUUUUUAUUGACCCUCCUGGCUGUCCCCAGGGAAACCUCAAGUGAGGUUCUGGGGGGAGUACCUUCGCAAGAAGUAAACUUAAAGGAAUUGACGGAAGGGCACCACCAGGAGUGGAGCCUGCGGCUUAAUUUGACUCAACACGGGAAAACUCACCCGGCCCGGACACCAGAAGGAUGGACAGAUUGAUAGCUCUUUCUUGAUUUGGUGGAUGGUGGUGCAUGGCCGUUCUUAGUUGGUGGAGUGAUUUGUCUGGUUAAU
Molecule: ribosomal RNA, 1291 nt
Filed under: Kytorhynchus sp. n. CEL-2014
Lineage: Eukaryota; Metazoa; Platyhelminthes; Rhabdocoela; Kytorhynchidae
Description: SSU rRNA
Rfam family: Eukaryotic small subunit ribosomal RNA
Source: RNAcentral